GCAUCAUUGGUCUAGUGGUAGAAUUCAUCGUUGCCAUGGCUUUGAGCUUAAAGUUAGAAGUUCGAUGAGGCCCGUGUUCGAUUCACGGAUGAUGCA
Molecule: non-coding RNA, 96 nt
Organism: Histoplasma ohiense
Lineage: Eukaryota; Fungi; Ascomycota; Eurotiomycetes; Onygenales; Ajellomycetaceae
Source: the annotation of a GenBank genome assembly